UGCAGAAGAAGCACCGGCUAACUCCGUUGCCAGCAGCCGCGGUAAUACGGAGGGUGCGAGCGUUAAUCGGAAUUACUGGGCGUAAAGCGCAUGCAGGUGGUUUGUUAAGUCAGAUGUGAAAGCCCGGGGCUCAACCUCGGAAUUGCAUUUGAAACUGGCAAACUAGAGUACUGUAGAGGGGGUAGAAUUUCAGGUGUAGCGGUGAAAUGCGUAGAGAUCUGAAGGAAUACCGGUGGCGAAGGCGGCCCCCUGGACAGAUACUGACACUCAGAUGCGAAAGCGUGGGGAGCAAACAGGAUUAGAUACCCUGGUAG
Molecule: ribosomal RNA, 314 nt
Filed under: uncultured bacterium
Lineage: Bacteria
Description: bacterial SSU rRNA
Rfam family: Bacterial small subunit ribosomal RNA
Source: RNAcentral